UACAGAGGGUGCAAACGUUGCUCGGAAUCAUUGGGCGUAAAGCGCACGUAGGCGGCUCAGCAAGCGGGGAGUGAAAGCCCUCGGCUUAACCGAGGAAGUGCUUUCCGAACUACUGAGCUUGAAUACCGGAGAGGAUCGCGGAAUUCCCGGUGUAGAGGUGAAAUUCGUAGAUAUCGGGAGGAACACCAGUGGCGAAGGCGCUGACCUGGACAAGCACUGACACUCAACUGCGAAAGCGUGGGGAGCAAACAGG
RNAcentral lists this ribosomal RNA (253 nucleotides) under uncultured bacterium. RNAcentral's name for it is "partial 16S ribosomal RNA". It matches the Rfam family "Bacterial small subunit ribosomal RNA", at positions 524 to 776 of the family's 1533-position model. The record is from RNAcentral.